GGAUUGCAGGCUGCAACUCGCCUGCAUGAAGUCGGAAUUGCUAGUAAUCGCGGAUCAGCAUGCCGCGGUGAAUACGUUCUCGGGCCUUGUACACACCGCCCGUCACACCAUGGGAGUCGGUAACACCCGAAGUCUGUAGCCUGACGCAAGAGGGCGCAGCCGAAGGUGGGAUUGAUGACUGGGGUGAAGUCGUAACAAGGUACC
Molecule: ribosomal RNA, 204 nt
Filed under: uncultured bacterium
Lineage: Bacteria
Description: partial 16S ribosomal RNA
Rfam family: Bacterial small subunit ribosomal RNA
Source: RNAcentral